Molecule: transfer RNA, 69 nt
Filed under: Mytilus galloprovincialis (Mediterranean mussel)
Lineage: Eukaryota; Metazoa; Mollusca; Bivalvia; Mytilida; Mytilidae
Description: tRNA-Leu
Source: RNAcentral
AUGAAAGCUGGCAGAGUUAAUGCGCUUGAUUUAGGAUCAAUUUAUAAGUAUAUAUACUUGCUUUCAUAC